GACGAACGCUGGCGGCGUGCCUAAUACAUGCAAGUUGAGCGCUGAAGGUUGGUACUUGUACCAACUGGAUGAGCAGCGAACGGGUGAGUAACGCGUGGGGAAUCUGCCUUUGAGCGGGGGACAACAUUUGGAAACGAAUGCUAAUACCGCAUAAAAACUUUAAACACAAGUUUUAAGUUUGAAAGAUGCAAUUGCAUCACUCAAAGAUGAUCCCGCGUUGUAUUAGCUAGUUGGUGAGGUAAAGGCUCACCAAGGCGAUGAUACAUAGCCGACCUGAGAGGGUGAUCGGCCACAGUGGGACUGAGACACGGCCCAAACUACUACGGGAGGCAGCAGUAGGGAAUCUUCGGCAAUGGACGAAAGUCUGACCGAGCAACGCUGCGUGAGUGCAGAAGGUUUUCGGAUCGUAAAACUCUGUUGGUAGAGAAGAACGUUGGUGAGAGUGGAAAGCUCAUCAAGUGACGGUAACUACCCAGAAAGGGACGGCUAACUACGUG
This 497-nucleotide ribosomal RNA is filed under the name uncultured bacterium. Its description in RNAcentral is "partial 16S ribosomal RNA". It matches the Rfam family "Bacterial small subunit ribosomal RNA", at positions 28 to 507 of the family's 1533-position model. The record is from RNAcentral.